Molecule: long non-coding RNA, 201 nt
Filed under: Dermacentor andersoni
Lineage: Eukaryota; Metazoa; Arthropoda; Arachnida; Ixodida; Ixodidae
Description: uncharacterized LOC126526325
Source: RNAcentral
UACCAUUUAAAAGUGGCGAGGCCGUGACCAACAACAGUGUCCACGUCAGGGAGGAGCUAUGGCUGCAGCAGCACGAUGUGUAAUCGGAUGGUCUGGUCAGGUACAGAUUGGUGUGGGAUUUGUGAUGCCACUCAACAAGUGGCAUUACAUAUUCAAGUCUGCUUCCGACAGAAUGUGCACAUUAGAGGUGGCAUGGAACCU